GCCGGGGUAGCCGAGCACGACGAGGGACGCGCAGGCGCUGCCGUCGCCGCCUUUGACGUAGGACAGAUCCACGCCGCCCACCCGCUGCAGGCCGGCCCAGCCCGGCUCCCGCUGCCACCGCUCCGUGUCCUCCGGCACCACGGCGGCCCGCAGCCUGUCCUGCUCGCACUCCCAGCGGCGGAGCGUGGCGGCCGGCACUGCCUUCGGGACCGUCUCCGCCAUGGCGGACCCCCACAACCCCC
Molecule: long non-coding RNA, 242 nt
Filed under: Gallus gallus (chicken)
Lineage: Eukaryota; Metazoa; Chordata; Aves; Galliformes; Phasianidae
Source: RNAcentral